AUUGAACGCUGGCGGCAGGCCUAACACAUGCAAGUCGGACGGUAGCACAGAGGAGCUUGCUCCUUGGGUGACGAGUGGCGGACGGGUGAGUAAUGUCUGGGGAUCUGCCCGAUAGAGGGGGAUAACCACUGGAAACGGUGGCUAAUACCGCAUAACGUCGCAAGACCAAAGAGGGGGACCUUCGGGCCUCUCACUAUCGGAUGAACCCAGAUGGGAUUAGCUAGUAGGCGGGGUAAUGGCCCACCUAGGCGACGAUCCCUAGCUGGUCUGAGAGGAUGACCAGCCACACUGGAACUGAGACACGGUACAGACUCCUACGGGAGGCAGCAGUGGGGAAUAUUGCACAAUGGGCGCAAGCCUGAUGCAGCCAUGCCGCGUGUAUGAAGAAGGCCUUCGGGUUGUAAAGUACUUUCAGCGGGGAGGAAGGCGGUGCGGUUAAUAACCGCACCGAUUGACGUUACCCGCAGAAGAAGCACCGGCUAACUCCGUGCCAGCCGCCGCGGUAA
RNAcentral lists this ribosomal RNA (506 nucleotides) under uncultured bacterium. RNAcentral describes it as "partial 16S ribosomal RNA". It matches the Rfam family "Bacterial small subunit ribosomal RNA", at positions 29 to 523 of the family's 1533-position model. The record is from RNAcentral.